Long non-coding RNA from Gadus macrocephalus (Pacific cod), 1407 nucleotides. RefSeq lists it as uncharacterized. NCBI's taxonomy places the organism in Eukaryota, Metazoa, Chordata, Actinopteri, Gadiformes, Gadidae. The transcript has 3 exons. The record is from RefSeq and is a predicted model, not a curated record.
UCUCCGUCUAAAUUUUCUGCGUCCAAUCAGCGAACAGAGGAAGUGGCUAAGGACAAUGACGUUAAAGUCAGCUCUCGUUGACGGACAUCUUCACGCACGGUGUUUGGUUUGUUUACACAGCCUGCGUUGAUUCCCGGCCAAACGUAAGCGGUUGGUUAUGGCAGAUCCAGAGUGGCACUGGGCAGAUCCAAUGGUUUUAAACUUCAACAGACACCCGCCUUCAAGUGAGUUAACGUUUGCAAAUUGAGUAUUGCCAGACUCUCUGUACAAAUGAAAUGAAAUACGAGAGUCUGAAAGGAACAGGCUACAUUACACCCACACUUGAGCUCCAAUGUCCAUACAGUUCUCUACCUGCUUUUUACUGCAGUGGACCUCCUGGAAUACACUUCUAAACUGCGAUUCUUACCCAUUGGGGACAUGUUGAAAGGUGAGCCGAUGCCGUUUGGAUGCUGGAGCCCGAUAGUGAUUCUGCUCGAACAAAUCUGCUGCAGCAGCACUGACCACUCGGCUGGCUGCGUGGUUCUUCCCUCUUGCACCAUCCAAUUAAAUCCUCAACGAUCAAAUCACCUGCAUGGAGGCACGAGGCCUGAUAUGAGGCCAGCUGAUGGCCAUAGAGCCUCAUGGAGGCCAGAGGUCAAGGGAGGAACCACCAGGAACUGGGAUAGAGGUGGAGAGGGGAACCUACCUAUCUGGAAUAGGUUCCUGCUCGUCACUCCCCAAGAGAGAGAACCAUCAACAUACAGACAGACAGACAGACAGACAGACAGGGAGACAGACGGAGAGAGAUGUAGAUAAGAGGGGGAUAAAGAAAUAUGAACAAUGUGCUCAUUUAAUUGAGUUUUGCGAUGCACAGCCACUGCUCUCGCUUCAAACAUAAGGAAAUGGCCCUUCUGCAAGAUAUGCUGAAAGUAAGGACUAUAUUUGGAUGUCAAAUUAGUCAGUAAUUUAUAGUCCCAAAUAUGUGCACUGAAUUAAAUUAAAUCAGAUCUUUAGUAACUAUUUUUAUGUUCCUUUACGUUGUAGGAAAUUAUAUAUAUAAUUCUGAAGCUCACAUAUAAUAACAAAAAUGGAUAAUUGUCGAUCUUUCAUGUUCAUGCCCACGCUGUGUGAGAAGAAGAAUUGGCGCUCACACAUUUUAUCGCCAAUGAAAAUAAGAGAAUCCAGUGGAAUGGAACUUCCAUCAUGCCCUCUUUUGGGGUGGUCUAAUUGGGUUGUUUUUUCUUGAGCUUUGCUUGAUUCCAGAACAUUUCUACACUUUCUGGACUCUAGUCUGACAUUGUUUGUAAUGUCAGGCGGCAGAGUGAACCACAGCAUGGAGGAGAAGUAAUUGUAGCCGUUUGCAGGCUCCUGGAGCUCUAUAUCUAUAUAAUAUAAGAUAAUAAUAAUAAUAAUAUAUAGGUAUUUAUA